RNAcentral lists this ribosomal RNA (781 nucleotides) under Rhodococcus sp. MD06. RNAcentral's name for it is "bacterial SSU rRNA". It matches the Rfam family "Bacterial small subunit ribosomal RNA", at positions 64 to 861 of the family's 1533-position model. The record is from RNAcentral. Lineage: Bacteria; Bacillati; Actinomycetota; Actinomycetes; Mycobacteriales; Nocardiaceae.
GAGCGGUAAGGCCUUUCGGGGUACACGAGCGGCGAACGGGUGAGUAACACGUGGGUGAUCUGCCCUGCACUUCGGGAUAAGCCUGGGAAACUGGGUCUAAUACCGGAUAUGACCUCCUAUCGCAUGGUGGGUGGUGGAAAGAUUUAUCGGUGCAGGAUGGGCCCGCGGCCUAUCAGCUUGUUGGUGGGGUAAUGGCCUACCAAGGCGACGACGGGUAGCCGACCUGAGAGGGUGACCGGCCACACUGGGACUGAGACACGGCCCAGACUCCUACGGGAGGCAGCAGUGGGGAAUAUUGCACAAUGGGCGAAAGCCUGAUGCAGCGACGCCGCGUGAGGGAUGACGGCCUUCGGGUUGUAAACCUCUUUCAGCAGGGACGAAGCGCAAGUGACGGUACCUGCAGAAGAAGCACCGGCUAACUACGUGCCAGCAGCCGCGGUAAUACGUAGGGUGCAAGCGUUGUCCGGAAUUACUGGGCGUAAAGAGUUCGUAGGCGGUUUGUCGCGUCGUUUGUGAAAACCAGCAGCUCAACUGCUGGCUUGCAGGCGAUACGGGCAGACUUGAGUACUGCAGGGGAGACUGGAAUUCCUGGUGUAGCGGUGAAAUGCGCAGAUAUCAGGAGGAACACCGGUGGCGAAGGCGGGUCUCUGGGCAGUAACUGACGCUGAGGAACGAAAGCGUGGGUAGCGAACAGGAUUAGAUACCCUGGUAGUCCACGCCGUAAACGGUGGGCGCUAGGUGUGGGUUCCUUCCACGGAAUCCGUGCCGUAGCUAACGCAUU